GCCGGGGAAGGGAACAGUCAAGAUGGCGGCCGGGGUGAGGCGAGCGAAGCGCCGCUGAGGAGAACAAACUCGGCCGGUGAUCAAAAAAAUCCGAAACUUGGGAGGAGUAGUCCCCUGGCCCGUGGGCGGAUCGUGACAAAAUUGAUGGCAUUGGUGACAAGUAUUAUUACUACUACUAACAGCAACAACAACAACAAUAAUCAUAUCCCGGGAGUUAUCGUUUUGCCUGUCGCCUCUUCUACCCACGAAUGCUGGAACCUCAUCAUUGGAAGUAGUCGAAUUGGAAUCUGUGGGUCCUAGACCGCAAAGAACAACUUGCGGACCCAAAGCGACAGGCAAAAUAAUUAUUACAUGUUCCAGAAGCAUUCUCUCCUGACUUUUCACCCAUACCUAUGGCAGGCAUCCUCUGGCGAGAGAGGGCGGUCUAGAAAUAAAGUUUUAUUAUUAUUUUA
Molecule: long non-coding RNA, 452 nt
Organism: Anolis carolinensis (green anole)
Lineage: Eukaryota; Metazoa; Chordata; Lepidosauria; Squamata; Anolidae
Exons: 2
Source: RefSeq, a predicted model, not a curated record